AGUGAACGCUGGCGGUAGGCCUAACACAUGCAAGUCGAACGGCAGCACAGUAAGAGCUUGCUCUUACGGGUGGCGAGUGGCGGACGGGUGAGGAAUACAUCGGAAUCUACUUUUUCGUGGGGGAUAACGUAGGGAAACUUACGCUAAUACCGCAUACGACCUACGGGUGAAAGCAGGGGAUCUUCGGACCUUGCGCGAUUGAAUGAGCCGAUGUCGGAUUAGCUAGUUGGCGGGGUAAAGGCCCACCAAGGCGACGAUCCGUAGCUGGUCUGAGAGGAUGAUCAGCCACACUGGAACUGAGACACGGUCCAGACUCCUACGGGAGGCAGCAGUGGAGAAUAUUGGACAAUGGGCGCAAGCCUGAUCCAGCCAUACCACGUGGGUGAAGAAGGCCUUCGGGUUGUAAAGCCCUUUUGUUGGGAAAGAAAAGCAGCAGGUUAAUACCCCGCUGUUCUGACGGUACCCAAAGAAUAAGCACCGGCUAACUUCGUG
This 492-nucleotide ribosomal RNA is filed under the name uncultured bacterium. Its description in RNAcentral is "partial 16S ribosomal RNA". It matches the Rfam family "Bacterial small subunit ribosomal RNA", at positions 29 to 507 of the family's 1533-position model. The record is from RNAcentral.